This 338-nucleotide ribosomal RNA is filed under the name Lutzomyia serrana. RNAcentral's name for it is "partial 12S ribosomal RNA". Lineage: Eukaryota; Metazoa; Arthropoda; Insecta; Diptera; Psychodidae. The record is from RNAcentral.
UUUUAGAUUAGUAUUAAAUAUAUUUAUGAAAUUAAAAUAAUUUGGCGGUAUUUUAGUCUAUUCAGAGGAACUUGUUUUAUAAUCGAUAUUCCUCGUUAUAUCUUACUUAUUUUAUUUAAUUUGUAUAUCGUUGUCAUUAGAAUAUUUUAUAAGAAAAAUAAUUUUUCUAUAAUUAUAUAAAAUUUUAUGUCAAAUCAAGGUGCAGUUUAUAUUUAAGUAAAAAUGAGUUACAUUAAUAUUUAUUUAUAUGAAUUAUAGAUUGAAAUAUCUUUAUAAAGGUGGAUUUGAUAGUAAAUUUUAAAAGAGUAUAAAGUUGAUUAUAGCUCUAAAAUAUGUAC